Molecule: ribosomal RNA, 500 nt
Filed under: uncultured bacterium
Lineage: Bacteria
Description: partial 16S ribosomal RNA
Rfam family: Bacterial small subunit ribosomal RNA
Source: RNAcentral
AUUGAACGCUGGCGGAAUGCUUUACACAUGCAAGUCGAACGGCAGCACGGACUUCGGUCUGGUGGCGAGUGGCGAACGGGUGAGUAAUGUAUCGGAACGUGCCCAGUCGUGGGGGAUAACGUAGUGAAAAUUACGCUAAUACCGCAUACGAUCUAUGGAUGAAAGCGGGGGAUCGCAAGACCUCGCGCGAUUGGAGCGGCCGAUAUCAGAUUAGGUAGUUGGUGGGGUAAAGGCCCACCAAGCCAACGAUCUGUAGCUGGUCUGAGAGGACGACCAACCGAGCUGGAACUGAGACACGGUCCAGACUCCUACGGGAGGCAGCAGUGGGGAAUUUUGGACAAUGGGCGAAAGCCUGAUCAAGCCAUUCCGCGUGCAGGAUGAAGGCCCUCGGGUUGUAAACUGCUUUUGUACAGAACGAAAAGGUUUCUACUAAUACUAGGAGCUCAUGACGGUACUGUAAGAAUAAGCACCGGCUAACUACGUGCCAGCAGCAGCCGCCG